RNAcentral lists this ribosomal RNA (253 nucleotides) under uncultured bacterium. RNAcentral's name for it is "partial 16S ribosomal RNA". It matches the Rfam family "Bacterial small subunit ribosomal RNA", at positions 524 to 776 of the family's 1533-position model. The record is from RNAcentral.
UACGGAGGGGGCUAGCGUUGUUCGGAAUUACUGGGCGUAAAGCGCACGUAGGCGGCUUUGUAAGUUAGAGGUGAAAGCCCGGGGCUCAACUCCGGAAUUGCCUUUAAGACUGCAUCGCUAGAAUUGUGGAGAGGUAAGUGGAAUUCCGAGUGUAGAGGUGAAAUUCGUAGAUAUUCGGAAGAACGCCAGUGGCGAAGGCGACUUACUGGACACAUAUUGACGCUGAGGUGCGAAAGCUAGGGGAGCGAACAGG